AACAUUCAUUGCUGUCGGUG
This 20-nucleotide non-coding RNA is filed under the name Xenopus laevis (African clawed frog). Its record names the gene xla-miR-181b-5p. Lineage: Eukaryota; Metazoa; Chordata; Amphibia; Anura; Pipidae. The record is from miRBase by way of RNAcentral. RNAcentral also lists the same sequence under 2 other names.